This 572-nucleotide ribosomal RNA is filed under the name uncultured Glomeromycotina. RNAcentral describes it as "SSU rRNA". It matches the Rfam family "Eukaryotic small subunit ribosomal RNA", at positions 548 to 1114 of the family's 1831-position model. Lineage: Eukaryota; Fungi; Glomeromycota. The record is from RNAcentral.
UUGGAGGGCAAGUCUGGUGCCAGCAGCCGCGGUAAUUCCAGCUCCAAUAGCGUAUAUUAAAGUUGUUGCAGUUAAAAAGCUCGUAGUUGAAUUUCGGGAUUGACGUGAUGGUCAUGCCUUAAGGGGUAUGAACUGUUGCUGUUGAUUUCUCACCUUCUGGAGAAACUUGAUGUCCUUAAUUGGGUGUCUUGCGGAUCCAGGACCUUUACCUUGAAAAAAUCAGAGUGUUUAAAGCAGGCAUUUUUGCUCGAAUACAUUAGCAUGGAAUAAUAGAAUAGGACGGCAUGGUUCUAUUUUGUUGGUUUCUAGGAUCACCGUAAUGAUUAAUAGGGAUAGUUGGGGGCAUUAGUAUUCAAUUGUCAGAGGUGAAAUCCUUGGAUUUAUUGAAGACUAACUACUGCGAGAGCAUUUGCCAAGGAUGUUUUCAUUAAUCAAGAACGAAAGUUAGGGGAUCGAAGACGAUCAGAUACCGUCGUAGUCUUAACCAUAAACUAUGCCGACUAGGAAUCAGACGAUGUUAAUUUUUUAAUGACUCGUUUGGCACCUUACGGGAAACCAAAGUGUUUGGGUUC